RNAcentral lists this transfer RNA (70 nucleotides) under Camelus bactrianus (Bactrian camel). It matches the Rfam family "tRNA". Rfam says of the family: Transfer RNA (tRNA) molecules are approximately 80 nucleotides in length. Lineage: Eukaryota; Metazoa; Chordata; Mammalia; Artiodactyla; Camelidae. The record is from Rfam by way of RNAcentral. RNAcentral also lists the same sequence under 2 other names.
AGGGAAAUAGUUCAGUGGCAGGGCAUGCUUAGCAUGCAUGAGGUCCUGGGUUCAAUCCCCAGUAUCUCCA